UCUGGAGAAAGACAAGCACAGCACAUGGUCUUAUCAGCCUCUCCAAGACCUGGCAAGCUUGAACCAGUGUUAAGCUGUUUAAGACAUUACUAUUAGCUGCCUCCUUGGUCACAGGCUUACAGUAGGGUUCACAAAAAAAAAAAAAAUUGAGAAGGAGAGAAAAAAAAAUAGGGACUUAGCAAGCUAAGCCAGAUUCUAUCUAAACAGGAAAAGGGUGGGGAGGAGGGAGGAAAGACAAAGAUGAGGAAGGACAAGACUGAGAGUGACACCAAGGGCACAAGUUUCAUAUUCUAACCAGCAUUCAGGAUUUAGCCAAAGCUCAUGGAGAAAAGGCUGCUGUUAAAUUCUUCCUCUACCUCUGUCUUGCUGGUCAGCCCAUCUUACCUGCUUCUCUGAUUUCUCAGCACCAGAACCAUGGAAAUAUAAAAGUAUCACUGCAGAUUCUGAGCUCCUGAAAUAUGGUGGGCCUGGCAGCUGAAAUGCAAAAUUAUACUGCUUUCCAUUUUGUUGUCCUCCCAGCGGUACUGUCAAACUAUCAACUGCUAAGUGUGGUGACUGGUAGAAUAUCCCAUCUUCUCAUCAUUUUAUUCAUCUGUUAAAGAAAAAGAAACUUUCAGGCUGGAUUGUUUUUGUUCACGAAAAUCAAGUACAGCAGCUCUACGUCCCAGGUUCUCAGGAUACCCUGAACUUACACUUUUCAGAACCUCAUUGGCCUCCACGCUUAUAUUUCUUGUCACUUCUCCCUGUCAACGUGAGCACCACUGCAGCUGGAGAAGGGCAGCUGAUACUAAAAGCUCUAAGGCUAAGCGGGUAAGUGAAAAUGAACGGGAAAGGACAUUUAACUCAACUUGACGUUGUAGGUGACAUUUCUAAUUUCCAAAAGGCUUUCAGCCCUUGCAAAAUGCAGAAUGACAAAGUUUCUAUGAAAGACUGGCAGACCCAUCUGCCUUGCUAUAAAUGCUAACAAAUUACAUCUGUGAUGAAGGUCGGAGAAAGGCAGGGUAAUAUUUGUCAGAGAAGAAAGAAACAG
Molecule: long non-coding RNA, 1030 nt
Filed under: Struthio camelus australis
Lineage: Eukaryota; Metazoa; Chordata; Aves; Struthioniformes; Struthionidae
Description: lncRNA (ENSSCUG00000003441.1)
Source: RNAcentral